GACGAACGCUGGCGGCGUGCUUAACACAUGCAAGUCGAACGAAGAGCGAUGGAAGCUUGCUUCUAUCAAUCUUAGUGGCGAACGGGUGAGUAACGCGUAAUCAACCUGCCCUUCAGAGGGGGACAACAGUUGGAAACGACUGCUAAUACCGCAUACGAUCUAAUCUCGGCAUCGAGGAUAGAUGAAAGGUGGCCUCUACAUGUAAGCUAUCACUGAAGGAGGGGAUUGCGUCUGAUUAGCUAGUUGGAGGGGUAACGGCCCACCAAGGCGAUGAUAAGUAGCCGGUCUGAGAGGAUGAACGGCCACAUUGGGACUGAGACACGGCCCAGACUCCUACGGGAGGCAGCAGUGGGGAAUCUUCCGCAAUGGACGAAAGUCUGACGGAGCAACGCCGCGUGAGUGAUGACGGCCUUCGGGUUGUAAAGCCCUGUUAAUCGGGACGAAAGGCCUUCUUGCGAAUAGUGAGAAGGAUUGACGGUACCGGAAGAGAAAGCCACGGCUAACUACGUG
This 510-nucleotide ribosomal RNA is filed under the name uncultured bacterium. RNAcentral's name for it is "partial 16S ribosomal RNA". It matches the Rfam family "Bacterial small subunit ribosomal RNA", at positions 28 to 507 of the family's 1533-position model. The record is from RNAcentral.